Non-coding RNA from Mustela putorius furo (domestic ferret), 125 nucleotides. NCBI's taxonomy places the organism in Eukaryota, Metazoa, Chordata, Mammalia, Carnivora, Mustelidae. The record is from Rfam.
GAGCAUAUUCUUUGUGACGCAUAAGGGCCUAAAGAUUAGAAGAAUGCCCAGGGUGCUAUGGUUCCUUGGUAGUGUAUGCAGCCUAUUGAUUGUAUGGGUUCCCCUAAGGGACCUUGGAGACAGCC